RNAcentral lists this long non-coding RNA (282 nucleotides) under Manihot esculenta (cassava). RNAcentral's name for it is "long non-coding RNA (MESC_LNC003116)". Lineage: Eukaryota; Viridiplantae; Streptophyta; Magnoliopsida; Malpighiales; Euphorbiaceae. The record is from RNAcentral.
GGGUCUUUUUGCAUCAUAUGUUAACCUGUUUUGGCUUUUAUGCUACAUGGAUAAAAUGAGUUAUAUAGGCUCGAGUCAAUGAAUUUAAGGGUACCAUGAAGGAGACCUUGGAGUCGGUGGAUAAGCUUUGAGUUGAUUUGGAUGAGGCCAAUACUUUCAAGUUGUGCCUUGAGAAUCAGGUAAAAUCUGCCGAGAACCAGGUAGCCCUAUUGCAUCGCCAAGUCCUGGAGUUACAAGCUCAAGCUGAAGGGGCCCAGGAUGCUUCAACCAGGGUUGUUGAAC